This 71-nucleotide transfer RNA is filed under the name bacterium. Its description in RNAcentral is "tRNA-Ala". It matches the Rfam family "tRNA". Rfam says of the family: Transfer RNA (tRNA) molecules are approximately 80 nucleotides in length. Their secondary structure includes four short double-helical elements and three loops (D, anti-codon, and T loops). RNAcentral also lists the same sequence under 1 other name. The record is from RNAcentral.
GGGCCUAUAGUACAGUGGCAGUACGCCGCAUUCGCAUUGCGGAGGCGAGAGUUCGAUUCUCUCUAGGUCCA